UCUGCGUUUCGCGCAGCGGUCUCGCUAGGGAAUUUCAACUAGCGACGAGGGUUGCGCUCGUUGCGGGACUUAACCCAACAUCUCACGACACGAGCUGACGACAGCCAUGCAGCACCUGUCACUGGGCUCCCGAAGGCACCCCUCCAUCUCUGGAGGGUUCCCAGGAUGCCAAGGGCAGGUAAGGUUCUUCGCGUUGCAUCGAAUUAAGCCACAUGCUCCACCGCUUGUGCGGGCCCCCGUCAAUUCCUUUGAGUUUCAUCGUUGCCGACGUACUCCCCAGGUGGCAUACUUACUGCGUUAACUGCGGCACCGGCCCCAACGGGCCAACACCUAGUAUGCAUCGUUUACAGCGUGGACUAC
Molecule: unclassified non-coding RNA, 360 nt
Filed under: uncultured bacterium
Lineage: Bacteria
Description: contains 16S-23S intergenic spacer region
Source: RNAcentral